GGAGGGUUCGCCAUUGGCAAGGCAAGCGGGUUGCUAACCCGUGCGGGACACCCCCGUUGCCGGUUCGACUCCGGCACUCUCCGC
Molecule: transfer RNA, 84 nt
Filed under: Phytohabitans houttuyneae
Lineage: Bacteria; Bacillati; Actinomycetota; Actinomycetes; Micromonosporales; Micromonosporaceae
Description: tRNA-Ser
Rfam family: tRNA
About the family: Transfer RNA (tRNA) molecules are approximately 80 nucleotides in length. Their secondary structure includes four short double-helical elements and three loops (D, anti-codon, and T loops).
Source: RNAcentral